This is a small nuclear RNA of Saimiri boliviensis boliviensis (Bolivian squirrel monkey), 104 nucleotides long. The record is from RefSeq and is a predicted model, not a curated record. Lineage: Eukaryota; Metazoa; Chordata; Mammalia; Primates; Cebidae.
CAUGCCCACUUCAGCAACACAUACUAAAAUUGGAAUGGUGCACAGAAGAUGAGCAUGGCCCUUGCACAGGGAUAACACAAAUUUGUGAAGUGUUCCAUACUGUG